Molecule: ribosomal RNA, 2902 nt
Filed under: Klebsiella pneumoniae
Lineage: Bacteria; Pseudomonadati; Pseudomonadota; Gammaproteobacteria; Enterobacterales; Enterobacteriaceae
Description: 23S ribosomal RNA
Rfam family: Bacterial large subunit ribosomal RNA
Source: RNAcentral
GGUUAAGCGACUAAGCGUACACGGUGGAUGCCCUGGCAGUCAGAGGCGAUGAAGGACGUGCUAAUCUGCGAAAAGCGUCGGUAAGGUGAUAUGAACCGUUAUAACCGGCGAUGUCCGAAUGGGGAAACCCAGUGCAAUUCGUUGCACUAUCGUUAACUGAAUACAUAGGUUAACGAGGCGAACCGGGGGAACUGAAACAUCUAAGUACCCCGAGGAAAAGAAAUCAACCGAGAUUCCCCCAGUAGCGGCGAGCGAACGGGGAGCAGCCCAGAGUCUGAAUCAGCUUGUGUGUUAGUGGAACGGUCUGGAAAGUCCGACGGUACAGGGUGAUAGUCCCGUACACCAAAAUGCACAGGUUGUGAACUCGAAGAGUAGGGCGGGACACGUGGUAUCCUGUCUGAAUAUGGGGGGACCAUCCUCCAAGGCUAAAUACUCCUGACUGACCGAUAGUGAACCAGUACCGUGAGGGAAAGGCGAAAAGAACCCCGGCGAGGGGAGUGAAAAAGAACCUGAAACCGUGUACGUACAAGCAGUGGGAGCACCUUCGGGUGUGACUGCGUACCUUUUGUAUAAUGGGUCAGCGACUUAUAUUCUGUAGCAAGGUUAACCGUAUAGGGGAGCCGCAGGGAAACCGAGUCUUAACUGGGCGUUAAGUUGCAGGGUAUAGACCCGAAACCCGGUGAUCUAGCCAUGGGCAGGUUGAAGGUUGGGUAACACUAACUGGAGGACCGAACCGACUAAUGUUGAAAAAUUAGCGGAUGACUUGUGGCUGGGGGUGAAAGGCCAAUCAAACCGGGAGAUAGCUGGUUCUCCCCGAAAGCUAUUUAGGUAGCGCCUCGUGAAUUCAUCUUCGGGGGUAGAGCACUGUUUCGGCUAGGGGGUCAUCCCGACUUACCAACCCGAUGCAAACUACGAAUACCGAAGAAUGUUAUCACGGGAGACACACGGCGGGUGCUAACGUCCGUCGUGAAGAGGGAAACAACCCAGACCGCCAGCUAAGGUCCCAAAGUCAUGGUUAAGUGGGAAACGAUGUGGGAAGGCACAGACAGCCAGGAUGUUGGCUUAGAAGCAGCCAUCAUUUAAAGAAAGCGUAAUAGCUCACUGGUCGAGUCGGCCUGCGCGGAAGAUGUAACGGGGCUAAACCAUGCACCGAAGCUGCGGCAGCGACACUAUGUGUUGUUGGGUAGGGGAGCGUUCUGUAAGCCUGCGAAGGUGUGCUGUGAGGCAUGCUGGAGGUAUCAGAAGUGCGAAUGCUGACAUAAGUAACGAUAAAGCGGGUGAAAAGCCCGCUCGCCGGAAGACCAAGGGUUCCUGUCCAACGUUAAUCGGGGCAGGGUGAGUCGACCCCUAAGGCGAGGCCGAAAGGCGUAGUCGAUGGGAAACAGGUUAAUAUUCCUGUACUUGGUGUUACUGCGAAGGGGGGACGGAGAAGGCUAUGUUAGCCGGGCGACGGUUGUCCCGGUUUAAGCAUGUAGGCUGGUUGUCCAGGCAAAUCCGGAUAAUCAAGGCUGAGGUGUGAUGACGAGGCACUACGGUGCUGAAGUAACAAAUGCCCUGCUUCCAGGAAAAGCCUCUAAGCAUCAGGUAACAUCAAAUCGUACCCCAAACCGACACAGGUGGUCAGGUAGAGAAUACCAAGGCGCUUGAGAGAACUCGGGUGAAGGAACUAGGCAAAAUGGUGCCGUAACUUCGGGAGAAGGCACGCUGGUGUGUAGGUGAAGCCCCUGCGGGUGGAGCUGAGACCAGUCGAAGAUACCAGCUGGCUGCAACUGUUUAUUAAAAACACAGCACUGUGCAAACACGAAAGUGGACGUAUACGGUGUGACGCCUGCCCGGUGCCGGAAGGUUAAUUGAUGGGGUUAUCCGUAAGGAGAAGCUCUUGAUCGAAGCCCCGGUAAACGGCGGCCGUAACUAUAACGGUCCUAAGGUAGCGAAAUUCCUUGUCGGGUAAGUUCCGACCUGCACGAAUGGCGUAAUGAUGGCCAGGCUGUCUCCACCCGAGACUCAGUGAAAUUGAACUCGCUGUGAAGAUGCAGUGUACCCGCGGCAAGACGGAAAGACCCCGUGAACCUUUACUAUAGCUUGACACUGAACAUUGAGCCUUGAUGUGUAGGAUAGGUGGGAGGCUUUGAAGCGUGGACGCCAGUCUGCGUGGAGCCAACCUUGAAAUACCACCCUUUAAUGUUUGAUGUUCUAACGUUGGCCCCUGACCGGGGUUGCGGACAGUGUCUGGUGGGUAGUUUGACUGGGGCGGUCUCCUCCCAAAGCGUAACGGAGGAGCACGAAGGUUAGCUAAUCCUGGUCGGACAUCAGGAGGUUAGUGCAAUGGCAUAAGCUAGCUUGACUGCGAGCGUGACGGCGCGAGCAGGUGCGAAAGCAGGUCAUAGUGAUCCGGUGGUUCUGAAUGGAAGGGCCAUCGCUCAACGGAUAAAAGGUACUCCGGGGAUAACAGGCUGAUACCGCCCAAGAGUUCAUAUCGACGGCGGUGUUUGGCACCUCGAUGUCGGCUCAUCACAUCCUGGGGCUGAAGUAGGUCCCAAGGGUAUGGCUGUUCGCCAUUUAAAGUGGUACGCGAGCUGGGUUUAGAACGUCGUGAGACAGUUCGGUCCCUAUCUGCCGUGGGCGCUGGAGAAUUGAGGGGGGCUGCUCCUAGUACGAGAGGACCGGAGUGGACGCAUCACUGGUGUUCGGGUUGUCAUGCCAAUGGCACUGCCCGGUAGCUAAAUGCGGAAGAGAUAAGUGCUGAAAGCAUCUAAGCACGAAACUUGCCCCGAGAUGAGUUCUCCCUGAGACUUUAAGUCUCCUGAAGGAACGUUGAAGACGACGACGUUGAUAGGCCGGGUGUGUAAGCGCAGCGAUGCGUUGAGCUAACCGGUACUAAUGAACCGUGAGGCUUAACCUU